AAGGUAAAAUAAAAAUGUAGAAAUGCGAUAAUAUUUUCACAAAAGGGUCAUAAAUAAUUGCGUUCCUUGAUAUUCCUUCAUCUAUAAUACAGUACAACCUCGUCUAUUAACUACAUUAAUAUCAUGCUAAUAUUACUACUUAUGAAAUUGUGUUACAUAAUGAUAUAUAUUAGUACAUUUUUUUAUAUAUUUUUUGACGUAUUAUAGCAGACAAGCACAUAUGUGGAUGUCAAGUCUAGUUAAGCUUUGAUGAGAGUGAUACACCAAGAAUAAAGGAACGAUCACACUUGAAUUUGAAAAAGUCAAAUAAUGGAAAUUAAGUAAUGGUCAGAAUUAAAUAGCCAUAUUAUCCUAAUUCUUUGUUUUAUAGACAAUUUAAUUCAGAAAAAAAGAGAGGAAGAAACUGAGGUGGCGAUAGAUGAAAAAGGCAGAAAGAUCUACGGGUAUGAAAAGAGACAGAAAAGACUGGUCUGGUUAGAUCUGAGCCGUUGGUUGAGAAGAGCCUUCUCGUAUAAUCCAUUUUUUGUGGGACGUGGCGGUCGCUUUUGCUCCUCCGGUUCACACUCUAAACAAUCGUGGCGAAGCCAGAGCCGUCGAAUUAACAGUAGAGUGGGAUCCGCUAGUCAGCGUUCAGCUGCCACGUUACGACACUUGAUCCAAGAAAUAGUAGCAAUAAGGGUUCGUUUAUAGUUGAAGCUAAUUAAAGUAGAGGUAACAGUUUUCAAGUCAGCGAUUGUAAUUUGUGUGUUGAAUCGUUUUAACCUGUUAUAUUAUAAUGUAAAAAGUCAAACCAAGUAGGCGUUGAGAUCCUUUGUACCUAGACUUCUUUUAUGGGCAAUGAUACCUUUCAUUUUAAUUUUAGUAAUGGAAGAGUUAUGUACCAACAUUGGAGAUGAAGUCACUCUCGAACAAAGUCAAGUGUGCGAUCCAUCUUGUUACUAUGGUGUAAACAACAAUGUGAAAAUUUUGCACAAUGAAUUGUUAAAGUUAAAUUGUGGAUCCUCCGGUCACCCGAGAUGGUUACAUGCCUCUUUGUCGAUGAAAGGAGCGCCCUCUAAAUGGUUUGAUUGUGGAUGAUUUGGCCUCUGUUUUUUGAGUAUAGGAGAAGGUGGGUGUUGUCUUUGGAUGUUUAUUUUUAGUGGGUUUGUUUAGACUCUGUUAUUGUAAAGGGUAUAUUUCUAUCAAUGAAAUUUCAGUGAAGAAAAAUGGAACUAUCUAUCUUAUUAAAACUCAAGUACAAAAUGAGAUUGUUUGGAAACAUGUUUACUAUACUUACUGAAAAGUGUUUGGACACAAGAAUAAUUAUUGUUAUUUAACCAAAGUUAAAAUCAAUAAUCUAAAAUAGUUAUGGUUAACGUAUCCCGUUUGCGCGCUAAUUAAAUUGUACAACUAACCCAAAAAUUAAAUUAACCGAACUCGCUUGAUUCCUUAAAAUAUCAUAACAAUAUAAAGUGUUUGAAUGACUAUAAUCUCGGUUGCAAUCUAUACAAGAUAUUAUUACCUUAAUUUUCUGUGCUCAACUUCCUUCCCACGUCUUUUAUUUACUUCUGCAAGAAAUAUAUCUCCAAGUCUCCAUAAAUAGUUACCUAAAUCAGCGCACACAAAUAUAACCAAAAAAAAUUACAAUCUACAAUAUUUUCGAAAUAUGUGAUACCCCAGAAAUAUUUGAUCCGGGAGAAUAUCCACACAAUAUCUUAACACGCAAUAACUUUGAAAAACCUAGAUUAUUCACCUCUCUAUAUAUACCGACGAUUAAGAAGAAGCUAACAUCCAUUUACAACUCAUAAUGGCAUGAUACCCCAAGAAAUAUGGUUUUUAUCGACGAUCUCAAGCCCUACAAAGACGAAUGGCGAGUUCGUGUCAAAGCUCUUCAUUCUUGGAAACCGAAACCCAUUUUUGGAGGAGAGACUCUUGAUUUCAUACUAGCACACAAGACUGUAAGAGCUUGAGUUUCUUACUUUGAUCUAAUAAAAAAAAAUCUAUGUUGAAUUAGAUCCAGGUUCUUUUAUAUUUUUACAAUUCUAUUGUGAUUUGUGUCAUUCAAACACCUAUAAUAUCUAACCCAAGUAAUUACAGACUUUGUUUAUCUCGUAUUUUACUUUUCUGUAAUUUUAAUUAAAACGUGACUUAAUUUAAAAGUAUUAAUAUAUCUACAUUGGUUUUGUAUUUUUGAAACCUGCAGUUAUAAGCUUCAUGUGUUAGUGAAAGAUGACACUUGAUCAUCCGAGUUAAUGUUGCUUGAUACUGUGGCUACAAGUAUUAUUGGUGAUAAAGUUGUUGAACUUUGGGACAGGUCAUAUGAUGAGAUUGAAGACCAAGAUAUUCCUAUCCAAAACAUGGUAGGAAAAUCGUUUUGUUUUGGGCUUUCCAUCACCGCUGAUAAUGUGACCAACGGAUCAGCUACAUUUAAGUUUGUUGUUUGGCUUUUUUGUUUCAUGUUGUUUUUGGAAUUUCUGGAUUUUGUUUGGAUUUCGUUUUUUUCAAUACUUUUCAUUUAAAUUCUAUUUUUAAUCAAUAAACUUGGCUUUUACUAAUAAUCAUGUCAACCAGUUAAACUAAGACCAUAGUAAUGUACAAGUCGAUUCCAUAAUUACCUUACCAGCAACUUAGCAUGUAACACUCUCACUAUAAUUUUUUGUAUAGUACUACAAUAGGUAUAAUUAACUCAUAAUCAUUUCGAAAAUACCUAUUUACGCAGUUAGUAAGCCAAUAUUAUCAAUGUGAUUGCCAUCCCUUCAGCUCUUAACGUUCCAACACAAACCUAUAAAUAUUUUGUAAAAAAAUAUAUCUGCAAAAAUAGAUUCUCAUAAAAGGGAAUUGCAAAAAAAAAAUAAUAAUAACUAAAAAUCGUUUUGUAAUAUAGAUUCUCAUAAAAUAUAUUUUUUUUUACCAUAAUUUAAAUAUAAAUUAUUAACUAUCAACUUUAUUUAUGCUAAAAACGAAAAUUAAGAUCCUCUAAAUCUUUUGCACGCUAUGUAUCUCAAAAGUCUCUUUUAUUGCAUAACCGAUUACUAAUCCUACAUGUUUCUACUUUUCUUUCAUAUCAUCAGCAAAUCAUACGAUAAUUCAUUCACAUAGAGUUAAAAUCUUCUAAACAAAUUACUAACCGUGUUUUGCUCCUGUUUGAUGUCAAGUGCAUUGUCUAAGUUUGGUUUAGCUGAUGUCUUUUGGUUCUCCAAAACGUCAAUUAAUCAUGCAGACCAAAGAAAACAGUGUCAUUAUUUCCAUUAGAUAAGAGAAAUCUAUUCAUGAAUAAGAGAGGUAUUUUUUUCAAAAAAAAAAAGGGAACAAGAGAGGUAUUUCUAAAAAACAAAUACAACUCACAAUGCUAGCAGCAGUGGUACUUCGUCGUGACAUGCACUUGAAAAGAUGACUAAGACCAGCUCUGCAUAAAAUUUACAAUUCUAAAACUAGAACACCAUUACUGUCCAUACAAAUAUUUACUAUAUGUAGUGUAUCUCAAAACUUAAAAAAUAUUGAUAAGUGCCUGCACUCAUUAAGUAAGAAAUAGAGAGAGUGCUCUAUUACUUCAGAAACCGAAACAGGUAUUUUGUAAAUCUUAGCAUCAAUAAAGUUUGGUUAUCCAUAGUGUUUCAAAAAAAAAAAAAAUCCAUAGAUGCAAGUAUAUAUAAAUAGGUACAAUGCUCUGUCUCAUACCUGUCUACUCCUGCCUUAAAUUUGUUUUUCUGAUUCUUCUUUCUGCUAAAUCAAUAUCAGAAACACAUAUAUACAAAUUGUUAGGAUAUUUAUCAUCAGUGAGGACAAUUAACGAAAAGGGGAGUUUAUUGUGAUUGAUUACCGAACAGUAUAUCAAAUCGAACUUCGAUUGAUUCAUUACAUGCAAUCGAACCUAUAUAUCUGUUAACUAAGCCGGAUUCCUACUGUCUGAUCUCAUUCUUUGGUCAGAUGAACAUCGAUCGUUCAUAUGCAAAUAAGAAAAACAACUUCAAUCGAUUAAAAUAACUUAAUCGUAUAAACUAAAUUAAACUCGGAUAAAAAAAACUAACCUUGAUCAUAGAAGAGACUGCAGAACUAAAGAUCAAACUGAUUUCUUAUAUCUUCUUCCAUAGAUAUAUUUUCCAGUUUCAUGGAUCAAACAACAUGCAAUAGGGUUCAGCAAAGAGGAAAAAAAUAUGGGAGAAUGAGAAGUCGAUAGAAGGAGGAAAGUCGUUUGCCUACCUUUCUGUUAUUAAAUUGGGCUAACAUUAUUAAGCUAAUUAGAAAUCCAAUAUACAGCUAAUGAUAUGUGCCAGCAUUAAUAUAAACAAAACCCAAUUUAAUGGCCUAAAAUUGUGUUUCAAAAAAAAAAUGACCUAAAAUAUAUUUUGUUUUUGUCAACACCUAAGAAUUUAUUCUAAAACUAAAAUAAAUAAAAAACUUAAAAUUUUUAUUCAUAUUACCAAUAAAAAAAUUAAAUUUAUUUAUAUCAAUUUUUUAUUCAAAAAUAAACAUAUAUACAAAAAUUGAUUUUUACGAAAAUAUUUUCAAAUGUCCACUUAAAAAAAUAUAAAUAUAUAAGAAAAAAUAAAGUACAAAGGCCAAUUUUUUUUAAAAAAAAUUAAAUAUAGAUUUUAUAUUUCACAUUAACUUUUUCAAAAUAUAGAUGUAUGUAUUUAACUAUAUGAUAAUAUCUAUAAAAUACUAUUAAUUAUAUGAUGACACAUAUAUGAUAUAUAAUAGUGAUAUGAAAAAUAUAAAAACAAAAAAAUAAUAGUGACAUGUAAAACAUAAAACAUGAUAUAUAUAAUAGUGACAAUAAAUAAACUAUGUAUUUUAAAAUAUGAGUAAAAUAAUUUAUAGAAAAAUAAAAAAUCAAAAUCAAAACCCGCGCGGGUGCGCGGGUCAAGAUCUAGUUUUACAAUUAUAUCACUUGCUACGAACUAGCAUGUAGAACCAAUAAAACAUAUAGCAAUGUGGUGACAAUUUUUUUAUUUGAAUGCCAGCUUUCAAAAAAAAGAUAUGGUGAUAAUUUCCCUACAUAAUAUGAAUACCAACCAACUAUAACUAUUUAGUGCUUUAUCAAAAAAAAACUAUAACUAUUUAGUGUAAAUCUAAGUAUUAGCUUCUGAUGCCGGAUGAAAUUUAAUAUCUUAAUUAAGGAGAUAAGCAUGUAAAAAGAGAAGUGUGAUCCACGUCAUAUUAAAAAUUGGAUAUGACAAUUAUAGGUGACCAGUAUUCCAGUAAUAGUUACAAAUGUAAUUGGAAAAUCUGACCAAAUAAAGUAAGAGAGAACGGUGAUGAGGAAAGUGGAGGAGACAUCUUUCUGUAUUCUUAUCUCUUCAAAUUGGCAGAAAAUAAACCAUAGAUAGGUGGCUUGAAACAGGACUAGUAGCACUUGAUUCACGUGACCUUUGUGCAUCGUUUGACCACGUGAGUCGUUAGAGAAAACGCACCUUAAUACGAGCAAAAAAACAUGAAAGUACUUUUAAGAAGUAAAUCAUGCAUGGACUCGCAAACCACUGUUUAUGUUUCUACAGAACUCCUAUCAAAACCGGACCGGAUCCAUACUAUUAAACGUAACACUAGCCACUACUAUGGUAUGUAUGCUCCUUCUGAAGUUUGUUAAUAUAAUGCAGCCAAAUGCAACCGAACAUUACCGGAUCGUACAUCCGGUGAUUAUUUUGUCACUGGUUAAGUGAUGAGGCAUAGCCCGUAUUACGUGUUGUGGCCCUACAAUUGUCUACUUUAUGUCUUUACCCAAAUCGUAUAUAGUUGUUUAAUGAAGAUUAGUGUUCAAUUUGGACGACCAACACAAAAAGUGCAACUUGCAGCACGAUUAAAAAGGAUUUAAACCCUUUUUCUCAAAGAUAUAUGUUUGGUGCUUCACUCUCUUCUGCAACUUGCUUCUGGUGGUGAAGAAGAGCCAAUGGGAAACAUGUUUGUCCCUUCAUUAACUAAAACUCUUCCACAAGCAUAUCAUCAACCUUAUAAAUAACAAUACUCAUUACCUUUUUUAAUAAAUAAAAUACACAUUACCUUUUUUAAUAAACAAAAUACUCACUAGUCAUUACUUUGUGGUUCGAUUUAGCUUAGAGCUGAACACCAUGAUGAUACUAGACUAGAUAAGGUAGGCAAUGCACCUUUAUUUUGCUAUGGUUUAUAAAAAAAAGCCAUUUAACAUAUUCAGUAAGAACUUAUUAAGUUUUUACAUUUUAAUUUCUAUAGAUGCUGAUAUUUAUUAUAAUUUCGACUAAGACAGACUAUUCUUUGAAAAGGAAAGUUGCAAAGAUUACUUAGAUUAGAUUUGUUUCACUCAUGAUAUACAAAGUAUAUUCUUAGUGUGAUCAUUACUUUAAUAAUUGUUUAUCUUUUUUUUUUUUAAUCUUUAACCUAUAUAUCAGAUUUAAUUUUUUUUUGGCAAUACCGUAUAACGAAUAUUGGAGGAAGUCAUUCUAUAGUGUGAAAAUAAAUGGGUAAUAUAAGAAACCAUCCCUUAUUAAAGAGGAUGCUCCUAUGACAAAGUUGAUUUGACCGAGUGAUAAAAUCCUUCAAGUCACCUCAUUUUCAUGUACUGGGUCCAACUUCCAUGAGAUGAGUAAUAAGUGACUUGACAAAAAACAGAACAAAACAAAAAACACAGUACUUCUGUAUUACACAUUUCAGUUCUGUCUAACAGUACGUGCAAGUCGAACGGUCGAACAUGGUCUCGAAAUAUAAAAAUAUAAAGUUUAAGAAUUUAUAAAAUAUAUUGAUAAAUUAUGUUAAGAAACUUUAAAAUUUUAGAUAUAAUGCUAAAUUUAUAGCUUAUAAUUAAAAAAAUCAGACAAAAUUAUUAAAUUUUAAAAUUACCAGAUAAGAUGUACGAUUUUUUUUUUAACAUAGUCUAAAAUUAAUUUGAGACGGCCCUGCACAUUUCAUAAAAAAAGUUAGCUCAUUAACUUUCGAAAGGGAGCUCUGUAUAUAUUACUAAUUAGUUCGAGCACAACAAUAAAAGAGAUGGAAAGGAAAGUUAUACAAAAUUUCAAGACUUCUAAAUUUUUGUUACUAGAAAUAACAGAAAUGUAGCAAACUUCAGAUUUGAGUUAACAAGGAAACAAAAAAUGUCGAACGCCCACAAAACAUCCGUAUGUCUAUAGUGAAUAACGCAACCGCAG
Molecule: long non-coding RNA, 7094 nt
Organism: Brassica rapa (field mustard)
Lineage: Eukaryota; Viridiplantae; Streptophyta; Magnoliopsida; Brassicales; Brassicaceae
Source: RefSeq, a predicted model, not a curated record